AUGAGCUCCAAGCACUGGUGCGCUCAGGGUCCUUCCAGGCAGUGCAGUGGUCGCUCAGCUCAUCUCAGGAAGCGGACGGAGGCCACGGGCCAGGGUGGGAAGAGAACACCAGCUCUGGACCCCAGAAUGCGAGACUUUGUGCCAAACCCGGCACAUCGACCCACAGACAGCUCCUGUUGGCUGUGGCUUGGGAAGCUGGGUGAAGUCUGCUGGCUCCCCCCACCGGACCGCUCCCCAAUUCCAAGCCCCCCGACCUCCCACCUGCCCUGGCUGCCUCCUCUCUUGCUCCCAACCGUCCAGCAUCCAGAAACACCUGGCGAAGAUGCACAUUGGCUUACACCAUCCCCCUGCUCGAAACCUUCUCAUGCCUCCUACACUCGAAGGAGCAUGCGGACACGUGUCUGUGGCCUGAGCUUCUGCCAUCUCCCAUUGCGUAUAGAGCUCAAGUGUAGCCCCUGUCUCAGAUGUCCCCAGCUCUUUCCUGCCACAGGGACUUUGCACUUCCUGCUGCCUCUGUCUGGAAGGUCCUUCCCAGGGUCUUCACCUGGUGGUGAGCACUACUUGCUCGGCUCCCUCUUGGUGCGGUGCAAAUGUGACCCCUCAGUGAAAGCUUCCCUAGCGCCCCUCCCCCUGCACACACACGACAAGCACACCACCCUGUGUGCCACCUUCACGGCACCCGGCGCUAAGCUACACCUGCCUUGCUCAUCCAUCUUCCUGUUUCUCACCGGCCUGCCCUGUGUGAACGGAAGUCCAGGAGAGCUCAGAGGUGCCGCACCCCUGAGAGUGCCCGCACAGAGCAAAUGCCCCGAGAACAUCCGUGGGAGGCCUUUACAGUGUAAGACUUAUCUGCUUGAAAUUCAGAGUUAUUGGCCGGUGCCGCGGCUCAGUAGGCUAAUCCUCCGCCUUGCGGCGCUGGCACACCAGGUUCUAGUCCCGGUCGGGGCGCCGGAUUCUGUCCCGGUUGCCCCUCUUCCAGGCCAGCUCUCUGCUGUGGCCAGGGAGUGCAGUGGAGGAUGGCCCAAGUCCUUGGGCCCUGCACCCCAUGGGAGACCAGGAUAA
RNAcentral lists this long non-coding RNA (1062 nucleotides) under Oryctolagus cuniculus (rabbit). Its description in RNAcentral is "lncRNA (ENSOCUG00000036081.1)". Lineage: Eukaryota; Metazoa; Chordata; Mammalia; Lagomorpha; Leporidae. The record is from RNAcentral.